RNAcentral lists this transfer RNA (74 nucleotides) under Gasterosteus aculeatus (three-spined stickleback). It matches the Rfam family "tRNA". Rfam says of the family: Transfer RNA (tRNA) molecules are approximately 80 nucleotides in length. Their secondary structure includes four short double-helical elements and three loops (D, anti-codon, and T loops). The record is from Rfam by way of RNAcentral. Lineage: Eukaryota; Metazoa; Chordata; Actinopteri; Perciformes; Gasterosteidae.
GCCUGGAUAGCUCAGUUGGUAGAGCAUCAGACUUUUAAUUCUGAGGGUCCAGGGUUCAAGUCCCUUGUCAGGCU